RNAcentral lists this ribosomal RNA (465 nucleotides) under uncultured bacterium. Its description in RNAcentral is "partial 16S ribosomal RNA". It matches the Rfam family "Bacterial small subunit ribosomal RNA", at positions 28 to 507 of the family's 1533-position model. The record is from RNAcentral.
GACGAACGCUGGCGGCGUGCUUAACACAUGCAAGUCGAACGGAAAGGCCCUGCUUGCAGGGUACUCGAGUGGCGAACGGGUGAGUAACACGUGGGUGAUCUGCCCUGCACUUCGGGAUAAGCCUGGGAAACUGGGUCUAAUACCGGAUAGGAGCCAUUUUUAGUGUGAUGGUUGGAAAGUUUUUUCGGUGUAGGAUGAGCUCGCGGCCUAUCAGCUUGUUGGUGGGGUAAUGGCCUACCAAGGCGGCGACGGGUAGCCGGCCUGAGAGGGGGGACGGCCACAUUGGGACUGAGAUAAGGCCCAGACUCCUACGGGAGGCAGCAGCGGGGAAUAUUGCACAAUGGGCGCAAGCCUGAUGCAGCGACGCCGCGUGGGGGAUGACGGCCUUCGGGUUGUAAACUCCUUUCGCUAGGGACGAAGCUUUGUGUGACGGUACCUAGAUAAGAAGCACCGGCUAACUACGUG